RNAcentral lists this long non-coding RNA (787 nucleotides) under Homo sapiens (human). Its description in RNAcentral is "non-protein coding lnc-FOXD4L5-11:1". The record is from RNAcentral. Lineage: Eukaryota; Metazoa; Chordata; Mammalia; Primates; Hominidae.
UUUUCCAUGUAACCAAAAACCACCUGUUUCCCAAAAACUAUUGCAAUAAAGUAAUAUAUAUGAAAACAAUCAACAUGAUAGUCUUGAAGUGCAACAUUCACUGGGUUUCAUAUGGGAGAAAAACAGCUAAAAUCAAACACAUGGACAGGCAGUCAGAACAAUGUCCAUCAUAUACAUAGUAAAAUUAAUACAAGGACAAACAUUCAUGAGUGGAGUCCAUUUGAAUUAGCCUGUAGUGAAGACAUGUGCCUUAGGGCACACAUAACUCAUGUUAGGGAGAAAAUGUAUAAUUUUACUCAAUGUGAAAACAUCUUCAGAAAUAACUCAGUCCAUGCUGUCCAGAUGCAGUUCUGUUCUGUAGAGAUGAAGAAUAAGAAUCAUCAAAGUGGAAAAACCUCUGUCCUGCUCCAAAUUCUGGUCCACACAGGAGUAGUACUACUGGAGAGAAAAGCCAUACAUGUCCCAAAUGAAGGAAAGCCUUUACGUUAUCAGUCAUUUCUUAUGAGACAUUAUGAAACUUCACACUGGAGAGAAACCUUAUGAAUGUAACAAAAGUGAGAAAGGCUUUAGAUAUUCCCUACACCUUAAUAAACAUUUAAGAAAGAACAUUCUGGAGAAGCCCUAUGGAUGUAAGGAAUGUGGGAAAGCCUUCAGCAAGGCUCAAAACAUGCACAUAUAAGGAGUCACACUGGAAGAAACCCUAUAAAUGUGAUAAAUGUGAAAAAGACUUUGCAAAGUCACCAGAAUUAAAAGCCAUCUUAAGAUUCACAAUAGUGAGAAGCCCUGU